RNAcentral lists this ribosomal RNA (478 nucleotides) under uncultured bacterium. Its description in RNAcentral is "partial 16S ribosomal RNA". It matches the Rfam family "Bacterial small subunit ribosomal RNA", at positions 28 to 523 of the family's 1533-position model. The record is from RNAcentral.
GACGAACGCUGGCGGCGUGCUUAACACAUGCAAGUCGAACGGUAAGGCCCUUCGGGGUACACGAGUGGCGAACGGGUGAGUAACACGUGGGUGAUCUGCCCUGCACUUCGGGAUAAGCCUGGGAAACUGGGGCUAAUACCGGAUAGGACUCCUGACUGCAUGGGUGGGGGUGGAAAGCUUUUGCGGUGUGGGAUGGGCCCGCGGCCUAUCAGCUUGUUGGUGGGGUGAUGGCCUACCAAGGCGACGACGGGUAGCCGGGCUGAGAGGGUGACCGGGCACACUGGGACUGAGAAACGGCCCAGACUCCUACGGGAGGCAGCAGUGGGGAAUAUUGCACAAUGGGCGCAAGCCUGAUGCAGCGACGCCGCGUGAGGGAUGACGGCCUUCGGGUUGUAAACCUCUUUCAGCACAGACGAAGCGCAAGUGACGGUAUGGGCAGAAGAAGGACCGGCCAACUACGUGCCAGCCGCCGCCGUAA